RNAcentral lists this ribosomal RNA (440 nucleotides) under uncultured bacterium. RNAcentral describes it as "partial 16S ribosomal RNA". It matches the Rfam family "Bacterial small subunit ribosomal RNA", at positions 338 to 795 of the family's 1533-position model. The record is from RNAcentral.
CCUACGGGAGGCAGCAGUGGGGAAUAUUGCUCAAUGGUCGGAACCCUGAACCAGCAAAGCCGCGUGAAGGAGGAAGGUUCUCGGUUUGUUAACUCCCUUUUUUCGAGAAGCUAAUGACGGUAUCUAACGACUAAUCACCGGCUAACUCCGUGCCAGCAGCCGCGGUAAUACGGCGGUUGCCGGCGUUAUUCGGAAGCACUGGGCGUAAAGGGCGCGUAGGCGGGAUAGCAAGUCAGAUGUGAAAUCCUAGGGGUUAACCAUAGAACCGCAGUUGAAACUGGUAGUCUAGAGUAUGAGAGAGGUAGGUGGAAUGCGUGGUGUAGGGGUGAAAUCCAUAGAUAUCGAGAAGAAUACUCAUUGCGAAGGCGGCAUGCUAGAUCCACACUGACGCUGAGGCACGAAAGCGUGGGGAGCGAACAGGAUUAGAUACCCUAGUAGUC